CGCUGCGCUUCCGUUUUCUUGGCUUCCCAUUGUUGUUCAUGGCCGUUUCUGAACUGCCCACCUCCUCUUCCCUACUUCACGAGGCUACUUAUGCCCUUCUCUCUCUACUACAUCUUUCCUCUCCUUGCCUCCUGAGCAGCCAUGCGGGGAUAGGAUGGUGAGUGCUAACAGCGGCGACGUGGGACGAGGAAUAGGGCACGACGUCAACGGCUUCAGGACACAAAGGAGGACAACGAGAACACAACACCACCGGAGCCACGAUACGAGUGCGAUACUGGGCCUCCACUCGAACUGUGAUAAAAGAUAAAGGGUGACGACUGACACACAUUCAGUUCCUAAGAUCGAUUUUUUGGUCACAUGUGUGUUCAACCGGUCAUCCAUGAUGCAAAGCAAAGUUUCAUCGCAGCAGCAACAAGCAGGUUGGAGUUUGUCCAUGAUGUGCUAUCAGCAAAUAUUCACGAAGUCACCAAGGUCCUUAGCUAGCAUACCACAUCGGUUGUCAUUGGCUGAUUAUGUACAAAAAGUAACACCACUACCUAUACUUUGAACCAAUGAAAUUUUAUCGUAUAUUUUUC
Long non-coding RNA from Triticum aestivum (bread wheat), 575 nucleotides. RefSeq lists it as uncharacterized. The transcript is spliced from 4 exons. The record is from RefSeq and is a predicted model, not a curated record. Lineage: Eukaryota; Viridiplantae; Streptophyta; Magnoliopsida; Poales; Poaceae.